AGUGAACGCUGGCGGUAGGCCUAACACAUGCAAGUCGAACGGCAGCACAGUAAGAGCUUGCUCUUACGGGUGGCGAGUGGCGGACGGGUGAGGAAUACAUCGGAAUCUACUUUUUCGUGGGGGAUAACGUAGGGAAACUUACGCUAAUACCGCAUACGACCUACGGGUGAAAGCAGGGGAUCUUCGGACCUUGCGCGAUUGAAUGAGCCGAUGUCGGAUUAGCUAGUUGGCGGGGUAAAGGCCCACCAAGGCGACGAUCCGUAGCUGGUCUGAGAGGAUGAUCAGCCACACUGGAACUGAGACACGGUCCAGACUCCUACGGGAGGCAGCAGUGGGGAAUAUUGGACAGUGGGCGCAAGCCUGAUCCAGCCAUACCGCGUGUGUGAAGAAGGCCUUCGGGUUGUAAAGCCCUUUUGUUGGGAAAGAAAAGCAGCAGGUUAAUACCCCGCUGUUCUGACGGUACCCAAAGAAUAAGCACCGGCUAACUUCGUG
Molecule: ribosomal RNA, 492 nt
Filed under: uncultured bacterium
Lineage: Bacteria
Description: partial 16S ribosomal RNA
Rfam family: Bacterial small subunit ribosomal RNA
Source: RNAcentral